AGCAGCCGCCGCGGUAAUACGGAGGGUGCAAGCGUUAAUCGGAAUUACUGGGCGUAAAGCGCACGCAGGCGGUCUGUCAAGUCAGAUGUGAAAUCCCCGGGCUUAACCUGGGAACUGCAUUUGAAACUGGCAGGCUAGAGUCUUGUAGAGGGGGGUAGAAUUCCAGGUGUAGCGGUGAAAUGCGUAGAGAUCUGGAGGAAUACCGGUGGCGAAGGCGGCCCCCUGGACAAAGACUGACGCUCAGGUGCGAAAGCGUGGGGAGCAAACAGGAUUAGAUACCCCAGUAGUCCCUGUCUCUUAUAC
This 303-nucleotide ribosomal RNA is filed under the name uncultured bacterium. RNAcentral describes it as "partial 16S ribosomal RNA". It matches the Rfam family "Bacterial small subunit ribosomal RNA", at positions 507 to 807 of the family's 1533-position model. The record is from RNAcentral.